This 460-nucleotide ribosomal RNA is filed under the name uncultured bacterium. Its description in RNAcentral is "partial 16S ribosomal RNA". It matches the Rfam family "Bacterial small subunit ribosomal RNA", at positions 338 to 795 of the family's 1533-position model. The record is from RNAcentral.
CCUACGGGUGGCAGCAGUGAGGAAUAUUGGUCAAUGGGCGUAAGCCUGAACCAGCCAAGUCGCGUGAGGGAUGAAGGUUCUAUGGAUCGUAAACCUCUUGUAUAAGGGAAUAAAGUGUGGGACGGGGCCUAUUUUGUAUGUACCUUAUGAAUAAGGAUCGGCUAACUCCGUGCCAGCAGCCGCGGUAAUACGGAGUAUCCGAUCGUUAUCCGGAUUGAUUGGGUUUAAAGGGUGCGUAGGCGGCCUUUUAAGUCAGCGGUGAAAGUCUGUGGCUCAACCAUAGAAUUGCCUUUGAAACUGGGGGGCUUGAGUAUGUUUGAGGCAGGCGGAAUGCGUGGUGUAGCGGUGAAAUGCUUAGAUAUCACGCAGAACCCCGAUUGCGAAGGCAGCCUGCCAAGCCAUGACUGACGCUGAUGCACGAAAGCGUGGGGAUCAAACAGGAUUAGAUACCCCUAUAGUC